This 1895-nucleotide long non-coding RNA is filed under the name Ananas comosus (pineapple). RNAcentral's name for it is "long non-coding RNA (ACOM_LNC043091)". The record is from RNAcentral. Lineage: Eukaryota; Viridiplantae; Streptophyta; Magnoliopsida; Poales; Bromeliaceae.
CAGUCCCUUGAACUUUUAAUUCUCAAUCAUAUAUCUUUUAUAAUUUUAUGCGUUACUUAUCUUUACAAGCCUAAUUAACAUAUUUUAUACAAUUCAUAUUACUCCGCAAAUUCAUAAUUAACUUAAAUUUUAUACUGAAAAAACCAUGAAGUGACUUAAAUCAUCAAAUCGAAAGGUAGCAUACUGAAAAUCAAAAUUUUGAUAAGUUAGGUAUUCGAAUGAAAGUAGGAUAUAGUUCACGUAAGUUUUAUAAAUUUUUGUCUUUAUUCUGUUUUCAGGAAAAUAAUUUAAAAGUUGAAUAUGAUACUUCAUGUUUUAAACAUUUUUUCAAACUUCUUAUAUAAAUUUCUUGAUCGACCAAAUGAAUAAGAUGUUGGGAACCGGAUGAAUCGUCCGUCAUGCGCUACUAAUAAAGAUACACGAAAAGAAUAGAAAAAAUCGAACGAACGGUAAAAAAAAUAAAUGCAGAAAGAAGAAACCAAAAUUUACGUGGUUCGAUAAUUACCUACGUCCACGGAAAAAGCGAGAGAGAUAUAUUCCACUAUAUGAAGAAAUAAAAAUACAAGCUUACACCUUAUGUCUUCUCCGGAUAAAAAUCAAGAACCUUAUGGUGAAUCUUACCUUUCUCUUGUUCCAACGAAAACUUCAAGAAAAUACCGAAAAAGCUUUUCGUAAAACCGAGAAAGCUUUUCGUAAAACCAAAAAAACCAAAUUAGAAAAGUAUAAGAAACUCUGACAAAAAAUUCUUUAUGCCGUUGCUUCGAAGAAUCCGAACUGCUCAGGCAAUUUAGUCGAGAAAUAUCGCUCUUGCUGUCGACUCCGAUCCGUCGCACGCGUGCUACCUCCCUUCUCUUGCUACGGCACGGCUUCAAGAGAGACCGGCCACCUUAAUUAAUUAGCGUUAGGCUUCAAGAGAGACCGGCCACCUUAAUUAAUUAGCGCUAGGUUUCGGGAGAGACCCGCGUCAACGUAUGCUAGUUAAUUAAGCUUGAUGCACCUUCCAAGAGCCGUACGGUUCACAAAGCCGGAGUGCUAAUUAAUUUGGCCUCUGCUCUCUUCCUGCCGUCGCAUGCAAAGGCGCGGCACUUCUUAUGCCGUAUGGAUAGGCCACCUUAAUUAAUUAGCCUCUCUCCUUCCUUGCAGCCGGCCUCAAGAGAAAAAACCGGCCACCUUUUAAUUAAUUAACCUCUCUAAUUAAAAAAGGCAUAAUUUUAACAUUCUCUAUCUCGACUUCUUUUUUACUUCAUUAUUCUUCUCAUCUUAUCGCCCCCACUUCCUGAAGCAUUUCAGUUACUAGCAGUUAUGCAAAUUAGCCAAGUUUAGACAGUGUCUAAACUUAUCCGUUGUUACCGACUUUGUAUGUUAGCUACAUUAUCCUUCGUGGAUAUCUUUAUAAACUGAAUUUUUCCAUCAUCCUUAUUAGUGAGCUUCCGUAAUUUGUGAUACUUGAUUUCUUUGUGCUUUGUGCUCCCAUGGUAAACUGGAUUCCUGGCCUAAUUAACAUAUUUUAUACAAUUCAUAUUACUCCGCAAAUUCAUAAUUAACUUAAAUUUUCAAUUCUCUCAAUCAAAUACCUUUUAUAAUUUCAUGCAUUACUUAUCUCUACAAGCCUAAUUAACAUAUUUUAUACAAUUCAUAUUACUCCGCAAAUUCAUAAUUAACUUAAAUUUUAUACUUAAAAAACCAUAAAGUGACUUAAAUCACCAAAUCGAAAGGUCGCAUACUGAAAAUCAAAAUUUUGAUAAGUUAGGUAUUCUAUUGAAAAUGGGAUAUAUAUAGUUCAAGUAAGUUUUGUAAAUUUUUAUUUUUAUUUUGUUUUCAGGAAAAUAAAUUAAAAGUUGAAUAUGAUACUCCAUGCUUUAAACAUUUUUUUCACACUUCUUUUAUAAACUUCU